AUUGCUUCUCAGCCUUUUGGCUAAGAUCAAGUGCAGGAUCCGUUCUUAUCAGUUUAAUAUCUGAUACAUCCUCUAUCCGAGGACAAUAUAUUAAAUGGAUUUUUGGAGCUGGGAGCUGGUAUAGGAGCUUGCUCCAUCCACUCCACGCAUUGACCUGGUACUGCAAUGCUUCCAGAAAUGAUGCACCCCUC
Molecule: small nuclear RNA, 191 nt
Organism: Fukomys damarensis (Damara mole-rat)
Lineage: Eukaryota; Metazoa; Chordata; Mammalia; Rodentia; Bathyergidae
Gene: U2
Rfam family: U2 spliceosomal RNA
About the family: U2 is a small nuclear RNA (snRNA) component of the spliceosome (involved in pre-mRNA splicing). Complementary binding between U2 snRNA (in an area lying towards the 5' end but 3' to hairpin I) and the branchpoint sequence (BPS) of the intron results the bulging out of an unpaired adenosine, on the BPS, which initiates a nucleophilic attack at the intronic 5' splice site, thus starting the first of two transesterification reactions that mediate splicing.
Source: Ensembl